Molecule: ribosomal RNA, 440 nt
Filed under: uncultured bacterium
Lineage: Bacteria
Description: partial 16S ribosomal RNA
Rfam family: Bacterial small subunit ribosomal RNA
Source: RNAcentral
CCUACGGGCGGCAGCAGUAGGGAAUAUUGCACAAUGGGGGAAACCCUGAUGCAGCAACGCCGCGUGGGGGAUGAAGGAUUUCGGAUUGUAAACCCCUUUUGGUAGAGAAGAAAAUGACGGUAUCUAAUGAAUAAGCAGCGGCUAACACCGUGCCAGCAGCCGCGGUAAUACGGAGGGUGCAAGCGUUAUUCGGAGUCACUGGGCGUAAAGAGCGCGUAGGCGGGAUAGCAAGUCAGCUGUGAAAGCCUAUGGCCUAACCAUAGAACUGCAUUUGAAACUGUUAUUCUGGAGUAUAGGAGAGGUAGGUGGAAUUCUUGGUGUAGGGGUAAAAUCCGUAGAGAUCAAGAGGAAUACUCAUUGCGAAGGCGGCCUGCUAGAACGUAACUGACGUUGAGGCGCGAAAGCGUGGGGAGCAAACAGGAUUAGAUACCCGGGUAGUC